CAGUCGAACGAUGAUCUCCCGCUUGCGGGGGUGAUUAGUGGCGAACGGGUGAGUAAUACGUGAGUAACCUGCCCUUGACUCUGGGAUAAGCCUGGGAAACCGGGUCUAAUACUGGAUACGACCCCCUGUCGCAUGGUGGGGGGUGGAAAGGGUUUGACUGGUUUUGGAUGGGCUCACGGCCUAUCAGCUUGUUGGUGGGGUAAUGGCUCACCAAGGCGACGACGGGUAGCCGGCCUGAGAGGGUGACCGGCCACACUGGGACUGAGACACGGCCCAGACUCCUACGGGAGGCAGCAGUGGGGAAUAUUGCACAAUGGGCGGAAGCCUGAUGCAGCGACGCCGCGUGAGGGAUGACGGCCUUCGGGUUGUAAACCUCUUUCAGCAGGGAAGAAGCCACAAGUGACGGUACCUGCAGAAGAAGCGCCGGCUAACUACGUGCCAGCAGCCGCGGUAAUACGUAGGGCGCAAGCGUUGUCCGGAAUUAUUGGGCGUAAAGAGCUCGUAGGCGGUUUGUCGCGUCUGCUGUGAAAGCCCGGGGCUCAACCCCGGGUCUGCAGUGGGUACGGGCAGACUAGAGUGCAGUAGGGGAGACUGGAAUUCCUGGUGUAGCGGUGAAAUGCGCAGAUAUCAGGAGGAACACCGAUGGCGAAGGCAGGUCUCUGGGCUGUUACUGACGCUGAGGAGCGAAAGCAUGGGGAGCGAACAGGAUUAGAUACCCUGGUAGUCCAUGCCGUAAACGUUGGGCACUAGGUGUGGGGGACAUUCCACGUUCUCCGCGCC
Molecule: ribosomal RNA, 780 nt
Filed under: Kocuria sediminis
Lineage: Bacteria; Bacillati; Actinomycetota; Actinomycetes; Micrococcales; Micrococcaceae
Description: bacterial SSU rRNA
Rfam family: Bacterial small subunit ribosomal RNA
Source: RNAcentral